Molecule: transfer RNA, 59 nt
Filed under: Xenoturbella hollandorum
Lineage: Eukaryota; Metazoa; Xenacoelomorpha; Xenoturbellidae
Description: tRNA-Ser
Source: RNAcentral
GGAAUAACAUAACAGUUCUGCUAAAACUGUAGUCCAUUAAUUAUUUUAAUGGUAUCUCC